AUUGAACGCUGGCGGAAUGCUUUACGCAUGCAAGUCGAACGGCAGCACGGGGGCAGCCCUGGUGGCGAGUGGCGAACGGGUGAGUAAUACAUCGGAACGUGCCCGGUCGUGGGGGAUAACGUAGCGAAAGUUACGCUAAUACCGCAUACGAUCUGAGGAUGAAAGCGGGGGACCUUCGGGCCUCGCGCGAUCGGAGCGGCCGAUGUCAGAUUAGGUAGUUGGUGGGGUAAAGGCAUACCAAGCCGACGAUCUGUAGCUGGUCUGAGAGGACGACCAGCCACACUGGGACUGAGACACGGCCCAGACUCCUACGGGAGGCAGCAGUGGGGAAUUUUGGACAAUGGGCGCAAGCCUGAUCCAGCCAUUCCGCGUGCAGGACGAAGGCCUUCGGGUUGUAAACUGCUUUUGUACGGAACGAAAAGGCUCUGGCUAAUACCUGGGGCUCAUGACGGUACCGUAAGAAUAAGCACCGGCUAACUACGUG
Molecule: ribosomal RNA, 484 nt
Filed under: uncultured bacterium
Lineage: Bacteria
Description: partial 16S ribosomal RNA
Rfam family: Bacterial small subunit ribosomal RNA
Source: RNAcentral